This 378-nucleotide ribosomal RNA is filed under the name uncultured Methanolinea sp. RNAcentral describes it as "bacterial SSU rRNA". It matches the Rfam family "Archaeal small subunit ribosomal RNA", at positions 961 to 1338 of the family's 1478-position model. Lineage: Archaea; Methanobacteriati; Methanobacteriota; Methanomicrobia; Methanomicrobiales; Methanoregulaceae. The record is from RNAcentral.
GAAGACUCUGCUUGACUAGCUGAGAGGAGGUGCAUGGCCGUCGUCAGUUCGUACUGUGAAGCAUCCUGUUAAGUCAGGCAACGAGCGAGACCCACGCCAACAGUUGCCAGCAUGUCCUCCGGGAUGAUGGGGACACUGUUGGGACCGCCUCUGCUAAAGAGGAGGAAGGAAUGGGCAACGGUAGGUCAGCAUGCCCCGAAUUAUCCGGGCUACACGCGGGCUACAAUGGUCAGGACAAUGGGUAUCGACACCGAGAGGUGGAGGCAAUCUCCUAAACCUGUCCUUAGUUCGGAUUGUGGGCUGCAACUCGCCCACAUGAAGCUGGAAUCCGUAGUAAUCGCGUUUCAAAAUAGCGCGGUGAAUAUGUCCCUGCUCCUU